RNAcentral lists this ribosomal RNA (380 nucleotides) under uncultured eukaryote. Its description in RNAcentral is "partial 18S ribosomal RNA". It matches the Rfam family "Eukaryotic small subunit ribosomal RNA", at positions 592 to 976 of the family's 1831-position model. The record is from RNAcentral.
CAAUAGCGUAUAUUAAAGUUGUUGCAGUUAAAAAGCUCGUAGUUGGAUCUGUGGUGUGCGGUGGGCUCCGGGCACUUGUUGUCUGAGUAGCUCGCCGCUGCCAUCCUUGGGUGGAACCUGUGUGGCAUUAGGUUGUCGUGCAGGGGAUGCCCAUCGUUUACUGUGAAAAAAUUAGAGUGUUCAAAGCAGGCUUAUGCCGUCGAAUAUAUUAGCAUGGAAUAAUGAGAUAGGACUUUUUCGCUAUUUUGUUGGUUUGCGCGAAGAGGUAAUGAUUAAUAGGGACAGUUGGGGGUAUUCGUAUUCCAUUGUCAGAGGUGAAAUUCUUGGAUUUUUGGAAGACGAACUACUGCGAAAGCAUUUACCAAGGAUGUUUUCAUUAA